RNAcentral lists this ribosomal RNA (913 nucleotides) under Enterococcus faecium. RNAcentral describes it as "bacterial SSU rRNA". It matches the Rfam family "Bacterial small subunit ribosomal RNA", at positions 41 to 926 of the family's 1533-position model. The record is from RNAcentral. Lineage: Bacteria; Bacillati; Bacillota; Bacilli; Lactobacillales; Enterococcaceae.
AGGGCGAUCUAUACAUGCAGUCGAACGCUUCUUUCCUCCCGAGUGCUUGCACUCAAUUGGAAAGAGGAGUGGCGGACGGGUGAGUAACACGUGGGUAACCUACCCAUCAGAGGGGGAUAACACUUGGAAACAGGUGCUAAUACCGCAUAACAGUUUAUGCCGCAUGGCAUAAGAGUGAAAGGCGCUUUCGGGUGUCGCUGAUGGAUGGACCCGCGGUGCAUUAGCUAGUUGGUGAGGUAACGGCUCACCAAGGCCACGAUGCAUAGCCGACCUGAGAGGGUGAUCGGCCACACUGGGACUGAGACACGGCCCAGACUCCUACGGGAGGCAGCAGUAGGGAAUCUUCGGCAAUGGACGAAAGUCUGACCGAGCAACGCCGCGUGAGUGAAGAAGGUUUUCGGAUCGUAAAACUCUGUUGUUAGAGAAGAACAAGGACGUUAGUAACUGAACGUCCCCUGACGGUAUCUAACCAGAAAGCCACGGCUAACUACGUGCCAGCAGCCGCGGUAAUACGUAGGUGGCAAGCGUUGUCCGGAUUUAUUGGGCGUAAAGCGAGCGCAGGCGGUUUCUUAAGUCUGAUGUGAAAGCCCCCGGCUCAACCGGGGAGGGUCAUUGGAAACUGGGAGACUUGAGUGCAGAAGAGGAGAGUGGAAUUCCAUGUGUAGCGGUGAAAUGCGUAGAUAUAUGGAGGAACACCAGUGGCGAAGGCGGCUCUCUGGUCUGUAACUGACGCUGAGGCUCGAAAGCGUGGGGAGCAAACAGGAUUAGAUACCCUGGUAGUCCACGCCGUAAACGAUGAGUGCUAAGUGUUGGAGGGUUUCCGCCCUUCAGUGCUGCAGCAAACGCAUUAAGCACUCCGCCUGGGGAGUACGACCGCAAGGUUGAACCAGAAAAAAUUUUUGGGGGGGGGGGG